AGACCCGAAACCCGGUGAUCUAGCCAUGGGCAGGUUGAAGGUUGGGUAACACUAACUGGAGGACCGAACCGACUAAUGUUGAAAAAUUAGCGGAUGACCUGUGGCUGGGGGUGAAAGGCCAAUCAAACCGGGAGAUAGCUGGUUCUCCCCGAAAGCUAUUUAGGUAGCGCCUCGUGAAUUCAUCUCCGGGGGUAGAGCACUGUUUCGGCUAGGGGGCCAUCCCGGCUUACCAACCCGAUGCAAACUGCGAAUACCGGAGAAUGUUAUCACGGGAGACACACGGCGGGUGCUAACGUCCGUCGUGAAGAGGGAAACAACCCAGACCGCCAGCUAAGGUCCCAAAGUCAUGGUUAAGUGGGAAACGAUGUGGGAAGGCCCAGACAGCCAGGAUGUUGGCUUAGAAGCAGCCAUCAUUUAAAGAAAGCGUAAUAGCUCACUGGUCGAGUCGGCCUGCGCGGAAGAUGUAACGGGGCUAAACCAUGCACCGAAGCUGCGGCAGCGACACUCAGGUGUUGUUGGGUAGGGGAGCGUUCUGUAAGCCUGUGAAGGUGUGUCGUGAGGCAUGCUGGAGGUAUCAGAAGUGCGAAUGCUGACAU
RNAcentral lists this ribosomal RNA (596 nucleotides) under Salmonella enterica subsp. enterica serovar Newport. RNAcentral describes it as "partial 23S ribosomal RNA". It matches the Rfam family "Bacterial large subunit ribosomal RNA", at positions 711 to 1303 of the family's 2925-position model. Lineage: Bacteria; Pseudomonadati; Pseudomonadota; Gammaproteobacteria; Enterobacterales; Enterobacteriaceae. The record is from RNAcentral.